RNAcentral lists this transfer RNA (92 nucleotides) under Sphingomonas daechungensis. RNAcentral's name for it is "tRNA-Ser". It matches the Rfam family "tRNA". From Rfam's summary of the family: Transfer RNA (tRNA) molecules are approximately 80 nucleotides in length. Their secondary structure includes four short double-helical elements and three loops (D, anti-codon, and T loops). Lineage: Bacteria; Pseudomonadati; Pseudomonadota; Alphaproteobacteria; Sphingomonadales; Sphingomonadaceae. The record is from RNAcentral.
GGAGACGUGGGUGAGUGGCUGAAACCAGCGGUUUGCUAAACCGCCGUACGGGGAUUCCCGUACCGAGGGUUCGAAUCCCUCCGUCUCCGCCA